This is a long non-coding RNA of Meriones unguiculatus (Mongolian gerbil), 2770 nucleotides long. RefSeq lists it as uncharacterized. The record is from RefSeq and is a predicted model, not a curated record. NCBI's taxonomy places the organism in Eukaryota, Metazoa, Chordata, Mammalia, Rodentia, Muridae. The transcript has 7 exons.
CGGCGGCGGGGGCUGCGGCUCGGCCGCUCGGAGCGCCGCGCCGCCUCCGCGCGCAGCCGGGCGAGGUGCCGCAGUGCAGAGGGCCGGCGUCCCGGCCGCCGCACGACCCCCCUCCGGCGCCGGAACGAGGCCCCCGAGACCCCACCUCUCCGUCCUUCAGGAGGGUCCCACCGCAAAACGUUAGGAAAGGCUGUAAAAUCUCCCUAAGACCUUGAGGGAAGAUUCUGAGAACCCCGAAUAUCGGAAAGAGGUGUGCCACUCAACUUUCUCCUUGUAAGGACAGUGACCUUCGAGGACAAGAACAGCAUGGGAGUCAGUGCUGAUCCUUAGACCCAGCCCCAACGAACUGGCUUUUAUUUCAUUCUUGAAUAAGGAGCCAAAGCUUGGAAAUUCCCAGUCCAGACUCUGACCAUCAGUGACCAUAGCUUCUCUUCCUAAACUACCUAGACCAUAAUACUCAGCACAGCCCAGAGAUUCAUGGGGUGAGACUCCGGACUUCUAUCAUCUCCAGCAGGCUGAGCUAGUCUCUCCAUUGACUCCAUUUUAAUGUCUUCCAUACACCGAUUAACUAUAGCAGCUAAGUCCCUGAGAAAUAACUUAUAAGCUAUCUCUUUCCUCUUUUAUAAAAGAGGUGGGUCUCACAGAUCAAGCAGGUCUCUUAAAUGAAUGCAAUGAUGCCCCAGCUUCAGCCUCCCGGGUGCUUGGGACCACAGGCACAUGCUACUGCAUGUAUCUUCCCUCUUAAAAGUCAGAUUAGCUUGAGAAGAACAAACUGUCCUAUUUCUUUCAGUUAGGCCAAUUCCCUACUUCCUAGGCUGCUUAUUCAUGGUUAGAGGAAGAAUCCAGAACAUUAAGUCACUAACGCAAACUGGAAACAAUAGUUUUCUUUUGAGCCCUGAAGGUCCAGAUUAGAGAAACAUGAGGCUGUGCCAAAGUCCCCAGAGAAAGCAGUUGAACUGUAUGAGGCCAGAUUCGAGAAUCAGUUCAAACUCCCAAGCGGCAAGGGCUGAGCCGGCAGAGCCCAAGAUCCUCUCAGCUGACAGUAAUCCCAGGCCAGGACACGAGCACCAGCAACCCCAAUACACUGUUGUUCAUUCCUCCUGCUCAAGCCCACCCAAGGGACAGACAGAUGACACAACAAGAGGAAGGCUGGCACUGAUGCUCUUUGUCUGUGUGAUUGACAUUCUCUUAGAAGGAAAACACCAAUCAGAGAACCCGGAAACCACAGCAGAAGACCAUGGCAAGCCCUGCCCACAAAAGAGCAGAGAUGAGGAAACAGAGAUACAGGAGGAUAUUUAAUUUACAUAGCAGCCACAUGGGGCCCUGUCAAGCUGGGCAGCGGGCUCCUUGCACACCAGGCGGAUGAAGCGCUCAUCAUGGGAUACCAGGAUUACGCCACCCUGAAAGACAGAACAGAAGUGCUCAAGGGAACAGGUAUCAAAGGAUGUAGAGCCCUAGGGAAGAACAGUCGGGCAAGAACAUGCUCACCCUGAAGUUGUUGAGAGCGUGGCCCAAAGCUUCAAUUGUCUCCAUGUCUAGGUGGUUUGUGGGUUCAUCCAGGAUAUAGAAGUUGGGGCUGGAAGGCAGAACACACGUUACAGGAUGGAAGAAAAUUAAUUCCUUGGCACAAAGAACAAUCAUUUUGUACGGGACAAGAAGGGGAAAUAAGAAGGCAAGAACCCACAAAUAUUAAGCUCACCAAGGCAUGGUCAUCUGAGCAAAGGCUACCCUGCUCUUCUGGCCCCCAGAUAAGCUUGCAACAGGACGCAUGGCCAGUUCUCCAGAGAUGCCAUACCGGCCCAAUUGGUGACGAUAUUCCUCUUCAGGUCGCCCUGGAAAAGGCCCCCACAUCAGAUAAGCUCUUGGCCCAACUCCUUUGCUGCAUCCGAUACUCACCUUUUCAAUGUCCAUCGACUUAGGCAGGCUGCUUUAUACUGACCCAAGACAGGCCUAGGCGCAAGGAUCAGCUAAAAUGCUCUUAUCCCUAACAUACCUGGAAACUUGCGAGCCAGGAGUUCCACAGCACUGACAUUCAAGUCUAGCUGUUCCACAUGGUGCUGGCUGAAAUAGCCUAUCUUCAGAUUCCUGGAGGCAAAAAUGAAGGUUGGUCAGCUGUGGCCUCUCUGAGAGGCUGUAACUGCAGACACUCAUAACUGGCAAAGUGCUGAAGACAAGUGACUGUUGAGUGCUCAGCCAUAAACAGAUGAAACAUUCCCUCAAGGGCUAGCAAACGUGUGGAAAUAGAGCAAACCCCAUUCUAUAUAAUGAAAACACACUAAUAGAAGGAGUAGUAUAAUCAACUUUAUGUUGAAUGUGGUAAAGUACCACAACCCUACCACUUAGGAGGUUGAAGCCAGCAUACACAAACAUUUUGUGUUAUGUAGGGACUCAACAAAAUGAUAAAAAUUAACUUAAAAUCUGUCCCUCUUGCACAACUAAAUGCUUGGAGAAAACUCAGACUUGCAUGCCCUUUAGCUGGCCAACACUCUUCUAGCUCACUAUCUGUUAUGAAAGAGAAUCAUCUUUUUGUAGCUUAAAACAAACAAAGAAACAAACAAAGGGCAUGAACAGGCCUGGAGAGAUGACUCAGUAGUUAAGAGCACUGCCUGUUCUUCCAGACCUAGGUUCAACUGCCAGCACCCACAUGGCAGGCAGCUCACAACUGUUAACUCCAAUUCUUGGGGUCCAACACCCUCACACAGACAUACACACAUGCAAAACACCAAGACACAUAAAAUAAAAACAAUUAAACGAAUAUAUAUAUGUAAAA